This 598-nucleotide long non-coding RNA is filed under the name Heterocephalus glaber (naked mole-rat). RNAcentral describes it as "lncRNA (ENSHGLG00000050993.1)". Lineage: Eukaryota; Metazoa; Chordata; Mammalia; Rodentia; Bathyergidae. The record is from RNAcentral.
GUGAGCCCGGCUGCUCACGUCAGAUGCCUGUUCGGUAGUGGACUCUGCCUCUGUGGCCUCCUUGCUGUGGUGGGCAGAAGGGGCAGCAGUGGAGUCUAUGUGCCUCUAUUCUGAAGCGAUUCGAAGACAUGGAAGACAGAGAUUCAGUGUUGUGAGAGGAGAAAGAGAGUGUGCUGUAGCGCAGGGUCCAGCCUCCCCCUUCACUGGAUAACCAUUCACUAAAGGCCUGCUGGGACUGAGUCUGGAGCUGCAGGAGCAAAGUGCCAUGAACGGGGGCGCUGAGGGUGACAGGACGGGGCAAGUUCUCCUCUCUCCAGCCCUUGGCCUUCCGGGCCCGCAGGGUCCUCGUACCGCAUAAAGGCACGAUGACAAGUUCUGAGGACGAAACCUCAGCACACCUCCAUGGGAUCACUCCACGCGCAGGCCCUGUGGGGUAAAUACAAGGCUACUGGCCCCUGUUCCUUGAACGGAGGCACGAGGUGCAUGAACCCAGUCAUCAGCCAGUUCUUCCCAACCCUCCUCCUCUGGUCCUUCUCAGCCCUGCUCCCCACCAUAGUCUACUACUCGACGCUGCUGGAGUCGCACUGGACCAAGUGAG